RNAcentral lists this ribosomal RNA (434 nucleotides) under uncultured bacterium. RNAcentral's name for it is "bacterial SSU rRNA". It matches the Rfam family "Bacterial small subunit ribosomal RNA", at positions 28 to 441 of the family's 1533-position model. The record is from RNAcentral.
GAUGAACGCUGGCGGCGUGCCUAACACAUGCAAGUCGAACGGAGUUCUUGAGGAAUGCGACUUCGGUCAAAUGACUUUUGAACUUAGUGGCGGACGGGUGAGUAACGCGUGAGCAACCUGCCUUUCAGAGGGGGAUAACAUUUGGAAACAGAUGCUAAUACCGCAUAAGAUUACAGUACCGCAUGAUACAGUGAUCAAAGGAGCAAUCCGCUGAAAGAUGGGCUCGCGUCCGAUUAGAUAGUUGGUGAGGUAACGGCUCACCAAGUCGACGAUCGGUAGCCGGACUGAGAGGUUGAACGGCCACAUUGGGACUGAGACACGGCCCAGACUCCUACGGGAGGCAGCAGUGGGGAAUAUUGCACAAUGGGCGAAAGCCUGAUGCAGCAACGCCGCGUGAGUGAAGAAGUAUUUCGGUAUGUAAAGCUCUGUCAGCA